AUUGAACGCUGGCGGCAGGCCUAACACAUGCAAGUCGAGCGGAUGAAGGGAGCUUGCUCCUGGAUUCAGCGGCGGACGGGUGAGUAAUGCCUAGGAAUCUGCCUGGUGGUGGGGGAUAACGUCCGGAAACGGGCGCUAAUACCGCAUACGUCCUGAGGGAGAAAGUGGGGGAUCUUCGGACCUCACGCUAUCAGAUGAUCCUAGGUCGGAUUAGCUAGUUGGUGGGGUAAAGGCCUACCAAGGCGACGAUCCGUAACUGGUCUGAGAGGAUGAUCAGUCACACUGGAACUGAGACACGGUCCAGACUCCUACGGGAGGCAGCAGUGGGGAAUAUUGGACAAUGGGCGAAAGCCUGAUCCAGCCAUGCCGCGUGUGUGAAGAAGGUCUUCGGAUUGUAAAGCACUUUAAGUUGGGAGGAAGGGCAGUAAGUUAAUACCUUGCUGUUUUGACGUUACCAACAGAAUAAGCACCGGCUAACUUCGUG
Molecule: ribosomal RNA, 484 nt
Filed under: uncultured bacterium
Lineage: Bacteria
Description: partial 16S ribosomal RNA
Rfam family: Bacterial small subunit ribosomal RNA
Source: RNAcentral